CACUAUGCAUGCGAUGUGUAUGUAAUGUAUUUGAAUUCAGAGUGAAAAAAGCCGUUGCAUGAAGUACAUCCUCCUAAAUACUCUUGUUUUCUCCUGCAAAUUUACAAUAUGGGCAUCCUUUUUUAACAUCUUUCGUCAAAGAAGUGGAUUCAAAGCACAUUGUCGCCUCAGUAUAUUGAUGUGAAACCAUGCAGAAAAUGCUACUCUCUCUCAACCUUGUGGAUGUUCCCUACUUCCCUAAGGAUCAGCAGCCUCUUGAAACAGUUGAAGCCAUUAUCGAAUUCCUUGCGUCUAUGUUCCCUGGAUCUGAAAGCAGUGCAUAAUGCCAGAGAUUCCACCCAAAAGCCAACCCAUGAGUCCAAGCUGAAGAGGAAUAUUUCCAAAUCGAUGGCUCCACUAAUCUGAUUGAAUUCCUUGCGUCUAUGUUCCCUGGAUCUGAAAGCAGUGCAUAAUGCCAGAGAUUCCACCCAAAAGCUAACCCAUGAGUCCAAGCUGAAGAGGAAUAUUUCCAAGAUUACAUGUAGAUCUACACUCACCCGAUAGUUUAACUGCUAGAAAAAAGGUUAUUUUUUUACUUCAUUAAAAUUUAUAGAGUAAGAGAGAUUGGGGGAGGGGAGAGGUGAGGUGUAGCCACAAACCUGAAUGGCUAAGCUGUGGAACUGAAAUUCCCAUUCAUGUCACUUACAAUUUUAAUGAAUUACAGGG
This 705-nucleotide long non-coding RNA is filed under the name Strongylocentrotus purpuratus (purple sea urchin). RNAcentral describes it as "uncharacterized LOC115927368, transcript variant X1". Lineage: Eukaryota; Metazoa; Echinodermata; Echinoidea; Camarodonta; Strongylocentrotidae. The record is from RNAcentral.